UUAAGUUCUCAUGUCACAGAGAGUCUGAACUGUUUUCAUGCACUCACACUGAAAACUGCAUCAGGAUGAUGUUGUCAAUAACUCUGAUUGUCGUGUUGGGUUUUCUGAGUCAGGAGUCUUCUGCAAACAAGUUUCUGACUCAGGCUGACAAAUCCAAGUCUGUUAGUGUUGGAGGGACCGUGAGCAUCAGCGCCACAGGGAGUUCAGAUAUUGCUGCUGAUCUCAGUUGGUACCUUCAGAAACCUGGACAGGCUCCCAAACUCGUUAUAUACAAAGCAUCAACUCUCUUCUCAGGGACUGCGUCUCGAUUCAGAGGCAGUAGAUCUGGUUCUCACUACACUUUAACCAUCACAGGUGUUCAGACUGACGAUGCUGGAGAUUACUACUGUCUCGGCGAACAUGAUGGAGGAGUGUUCACACAGUGAUUUAGAGCCGUACAAAAACCUCCUUCAGUUUGACUGAAGUGAAACCGGCCUGCUGCAGGUGCAGAGGGUUGGUGAAGAGACUGUGAUGAGGAGAACUGGUCCAGUGAACACAACACAAGAGUCAUCAAGCAGAACCACAAUGAAUCUAAAUAAAACUGGAACAAACUCACAGACGCUCUUCCAUCUACAGUUUAA
Molecule: non-coding RNA, 620 nt
Organism: Sebastes umbrosus (honeycomb rockfish)
Lineage: Eukaryota; Metazoa; Chordata; Actinopteri; Perciformes; Sebastidae
Source: the annotation of a RefSeq genome assembly